AGCAGUCGCCGCGGUAAUACAGAGGGUGCGAGCGUUAAUCGGAUUUACUGGGCGUAAAGCGUGCGUAGGCGGCUAAUUGAGUCGGAUGUGAAAUCCCCGAGCUUAACUUGGGAAUUGCAUUCGAUACUGGUUAGCUAGAGUGUGGGAGAGGAUGGUAGAAUUCCAGGUGUAGCGGUGAAAUGCGUAGAGAUCUGGAGGAAUACCGAUGGCGAAGGCAGCCAUCUGGCCUAACACUGACGCUGAGGUACGAAAGCAUGGGGAGCAAACAGGAUUAGAUACCCCAGUAGUCCCUGUCUCUUAUAA
RNAcentral lists this ribosomal RNA (303 nucleotides) under uncultured bacterium. RNAcentral's name for it is "partial 16S ribosomal RNA". It matches the Rfam family "Bacterial small subunit ribosomal RNA", at positions 507 to 809 of the family's 1533-position model. The record is from RNAcentral.